This 565-nucleotide long non-coding RNA is filed under the name Ananas comosus (pineapple). RNAcentral describes it as "long non-coding RNA (ACOM_LNC032074)". Lineage: Eukaryota; Viridiplantae; Streptophyta; Magnoliopsida; Poales; Bromeliaceae. The record is from RNAcentral.
AUAAUUUAAGAUAUUUAAUAUAUGUUAUCUAAUCUAAUGUGUUAUAAUAUAUAUUUAGUAAUAAAUUAAAUUAAUUUCAUUUUAACCUAUUACAGUUUAAUCUAAGAGCAUGUUUGGUUCAUGAUUGGAAUAGCAAUGAAAAAUAAAAUUGAGUUACUUUGGAAUGGAAAAUGGAAUGACGAAUUAUUCAAAAAUAUUUCGUUUAUUAUUGGAAUGGAAAUCGAAAAGAAAAUUUAAAAUUGUUGAGAGAGGAUUUUGAUUAAGAAAGAGGAAAGUGGUGAAGGGAGAGGAGAUGGGUGUUGGUGAAAGAGAAUUUUGAAUAAUUUGCUUUGGAAUGAGUCAAUCCGGAAUUCAAAAUCGGAUUGAAUCAUAAAUGAAUUUGGUCAUUUUCAUUCUGGAAUGGAAUGAAAAUCGAAAUCCGAUUCCUAUAAAACAAACAGCAACUAUCGGAAUCAAUAAAUUCCAUUCUGAUUCCAUAGUUUAAAAUAGGUGAACCAAACAUGUCCUAAAUUCAAGGUACCAAACAGGUUUUGAUUUACGAUCUUUAUCACACUAUUUGAAAAUA